RNAcentral lists this ribosomal RNA (568 nucleotides) under uncultured bacterium. RNAcentral's name for it is "partial 16S ribosomal RNA". It matches the Rfam family "Bacterial small subunit ribosomal RNA", at positions 355 to 935 of the family's 1533-position model. The record is from RNAcentral.
UGGGGAAUAUUGGACAAUGGGCGGAAGCCUGAUCCAGCAACGCCGCGUGAGGGAUGACGGCCUUCGGGUUGUAAACCUCUUUCAGCACAGACGAAGCGCAAGUGACGGUAUGUGCAGAAGAAGGACCGGCCAACUACGUGCCAGCAGCCGCGGUAAUACGUAGGGUCCGAGCGUUGUCCGGAAUUAUUGGGCGUAAAGGGCUCGUAGGCGGUUUGUCGCGUCGGGAGUGAAAACACCGGGCUUAACUCGGUGCUUGCUUUCGAUACGGGCAGACUAGAGGUAUUCAGGGGAGAACGGAAUUCCUGGUGUAGCGGUGAAAUGCGCAGAUAUCAGGAGGAACACCGGUGGCGAAGGCGGUUCUCUGGGAAUAUCCUGACGCUGAGGAGCGAAAGUGUGGGGAGCGAACAGGAUUAGAUACCCUGGUAGUCCACACCGUAAACGUUGGGCGCUAGGUGUGGGGUCCAUUCCACGGAUUCCGUGCCGCAGCUAACGCAUUAAGCGCCCCCGCCUGGGGGAGUACGGCCCGCAAGGCUAAAACUCAAAUGAAUUGNCGGGGUCAUAGCUGUUU